RNAcentral lists this long non-coding RNA (1339 nucleotides) under Pan troglodytes (chimpanzee). RNAcentral's name for it is "long non-coding RNA NONPTRT017326". Lineage: Eukaryota; Metazoa; Chordata; Mammalia; Primates; Hominidae. The record is from RNAcentral.
GAUUUGCUGUUUAAGAAAGAAGUGAAGAGGAUCCUUUUAUUUUCCCAAACGGGGCCUCAUGGAAGUUCCACGUUGCUCCUCCCUGGCCUUCCAUCUCCACUGCACAGUGAGCAGAGCUAGGCUUGUCUGCGGCAGCUCCGCCACGCCCUGUCACCUGCAGUCACUAGUAGUAGGGCCCUAGCUUUUCAUAUCCUAAGUAACUUGGCCACUCUGGAAACAGACCAUAGGAACACCGAGGGCUUCCGAACUGGUCAAAGGAUAUUCCCAAAUCCGGUCCACUGUGGGGCUUGGUCAUUCCCUGGGUAGAUUUUAACUCAGCCCGGAUGAUCCUAUAGUUCUUGCCUCUGUUGCUGUCCCAGUACGUCUGUCCAUUGCACUCGUAGUACACAGCAAACUCCAUUCUUUCAUAAGACUGAAUCUUCUCGGGCAAGCUGAUGUCGAAGGAGAACGUGUCCCUGUCUGAACCGGCAUAAGUGUCCUUCACGUACUGACAAGGAAAGUCUGUGUAGCUCUUCCAGGUGUCGAACGUCAUCCUUAUUUUCACGGUCUUCUCAAAUGCGAGGUUCUGAACCUUCACAGUGCCUGCAAUGGCCUUGUCCUUGAGCACACAGUUCUCAAGGCAGACGUGGUCGGCCUGAAGUCGAUUUCUAAAGUCUAAGUAAUCUGCAGAGGGCUGGGAAAAAUCCAGAACAAAGCUCUCGCUCUCUGCUGUCGUCAAGCUCACAAUGUUGUCUAGGAGCUCGGUGAUGUUGAAUGGGAUAUCUAGCGGGUCAUCGAAUUCCGAGAACACUUUGACCAUUGUCAGGGCCAGCCCCUGGUUGUCUGCGAAGGACACCCGCUUUUUCACCUUCUUCUCCUGGACAGCCGGCGCCACCAUUCCACUGGCUUCAUUCUUGCUGCUCAGCUGAAUACAAGGCCUCAGUGGUUUGCUGGGCUUUGGUGAGAUCUUAAAGGCAAACCUCUCUCGGCGCAAGGAAGGAGCCAUGCAGUUGUAUCUGUACUCGAUGUCCACAGCCAUCAUGGGGCUAGAUGAACAGGCUAGAACCCUGGAAAGGGAAGAGAAGAAAGAAAACAGUGGAGCAAUCAGAUCAGACAGAUGUGUAAAGGCAUCAUUCCAGCAGGGACUGGCAAACAAUAUUUCCUUUUAUCUAUGCCCACAUGGCUACAGGUCCACGUAUGCUCAGAUUCUCUUCUGCCUCUGCCGCCCCUGAGACAGCAAGACCAACCCCUUCUCCUCCUCUUCCUCCUCCUCAGCCUACUCAACGUGAAGAGGAUGAGAAUGACGACCUUUAUGAUGACCCACAUCCACUUAAUGAACAGUAAAUAUAUUUUCUCUUUC